Ictalurus punctatus (channel catfish) is the source of this 861-nucleotide long non-coding RNA. The record is from Ensembl. NCBI's taxonomy places the organism in Eukaryota, Metazoa, Chordata, Actinopteri, Siluriformes, Ictaluridae.
CUGGGUUGGAAAUUAGGCUGAAACAUGGCAAAGGCGCCUGCUGUGUCAAACACAGUUAAAGAAGUAGGUCUGAAAUGGGGGGAAUAGUAUAGAAAUGGUACGUACUGUAGAUGCCUAUCACGUUGCUGCUUUCUGUCCUGUACACCUUGAAUCCUCGUGUAUGUACGUAGCAGGCGUACUCUCCCUCAUUCACUGUGUUACGUAAUAUCCACGUCACCCUGUGUCCAGGUAGGGUUCUUUCGGUGUAAAGGUCAUUUCCGUCGCGUGUGAGGGUGAUGUACGCCUGGAAAAGGAAUGCGAUUAUGUUAGACUGCGCGAAUACUGAGACCCGAUCAAAUGUUGCUAGGAAAACCGACUUUCUUACAAACUCAUUUAUGGACGAUUGAAAAAUGCACUCGAGGGUCGCAGACUCUUCAGUCCUGACGUACACCCGCGACGCAGUUUCACGUUUGGACAGAGAAAGCGUCGGCGGAGGGAGGGCCUCUGCCAGACAGGAGGAGCAAAAAUUCAGAAGAAAUGUUAUUUGAUUUAAACAUACAAUACAACAAAAAUAUACAAUAAACAAUGGUGUAGGAACAGGUAUAAAAGGCAUCUAGAAACAUCCUCAGGACGCCAAGAAAACUCGACAGAUUGGAAACUUCUAGAACAAAAGGUUCAUACAGGAAACACAGGUGGAAUGAGAACCCCUAAGGGAUCAGACAGAGCAGCUAGAAGACAGAGGAACAGAAGAACACUCCUACAACAUUACUACAACAUUUUUAGAUGAACCAACUUUACCAAGGUGUUUGCAUGAUGCUAGUUAAUGCUUCCUUUGAUUGUAAUUGAAAGGGGAAAAAAAAAUCAGGAACAUCAGUAACCUCC